AUUUCUAACGGGCCGAGUAACGACCGGCCGGACAGUCUUAGGCGGGCAGUUUGACUGGGGCGGUCGCCUCCAAAAGAGUAACGGAGGCGCCCAAAGGUUCCCUCAGAGCGGACGGAAAUCGCUCGAAGAGUGUAAAGGCAGAAGGGAGCUUGACUGCGAGACGGACAGGUCGAGCAGGGACGAAAGUCGGGCUUAGUGAUCCGGUGGUGCCGAGUGGAAGGGCCAUCGCUCAACGGAUAAAAGCUACCCUGGGGAUAACAGGCUAAUCUCUCCCAAGAGUCCAUAUCGACGGGGAGGUUUGGCACCUCGAUGUCGGCUCAUCACAUCCUGGGGCUGAAGUAGGUCCCAAGGGUUCGGCUGUUCGCCGAUUA
RNAcentral lists this ribosomal RNA (371 nucleotides) under Salmonella enterica subsp. enterica serovar London. Its description in RNAcentral is "partial 23S ribosomal RNA". It matches the Rfam family "Bacterial large subunit ribosomal RNA", at positions 2218 to 2590 of the family's 2925-position model. The record is from RNAcentral. Lineage: Bacteria; Pseudomonadati; Pseudomonadota; Gammaproteobacteria; Enterobacterales; Enterobacteriaceae.